This 393-nucleotide ribosomal RNA is filed under the name uncultured bacterium. RNAcentral describes it as "bacterial SSU rRNA". It matches the Rfam family "Bacterial small subunit ribosomal RNA", at positions 389 to 799 of the family's 1533-position model. The record is from RNAcentral.
CAGCACGCCGCGUGAGUGAUGACGGCCUUCGGGUUGUAAAGCUCUGUCUUCAGGGACGAUAAUGACGGUACCUGAGGAGGAAGCCACGGCUAACUACGUGCCAGCAGCCGCGGUAAUACGUAGGUGGCGAGCGUUGUCCGGAUUUACUGGGCGUAAAGGGAGCGUAGGCGGAUUUUUAAGUGAGAUGUGAAAUACUCGGGCUUAACCUGAGUGCUGCAUUUCAAACUGGAAAUCUAGAGUGCAGGAGAGGAAAAGGGAAUUCCUAGUGUAGCGGUGAAAUGCGUAAAGAUUAGGAAGAACACCAGUGGCGAAGGCGCUUCUCUGGACUGUAACUGACGCUGAGGCUCGAAAGCGUGGGGAGCAAACAGGAUUAAAUACCCUUGGUAGUCAAAG